GAGGGAGAGGGAGAGGGAGCUGUUAGCUAACACAUCAAUUGUAUCUUAGAGUCUUGAACGUCCAGUGAAUCUCCUCCACUUCCUGUUUCAUAUGGUUUUAAGAGUGUCUGGGGGGAAACAGCUCUUCUUACCUGAACCCGUCGACUGUUGUGGAGAGACGCCGUUAAUUAGCUAGCUUGUUUAGCUAACUCGUCCCUGAACGCACCCGACGUCCCUCAUCUACCAACAUUUUUUUUUCCCGAUGAGACGUAACGUAGGACAGAGAAAAGCAGCAAAUGGAUCCACGAUGGCGGAACCGUGAUAUACUUGAUGAAACCAUAAAUUGAUUAUCAGAAUCGUUGCAGCUCCUUUGCGUUUUCGAUCAUUAAAUCAAACUCCAUUUCCCCCCACCCAGCGUGUGAACAGCAGGACGCCGCGGGGUCAGGGCGAGUUGAAUCCCACGUCGGUGUUUGCCCCCACGCUGACCUGGCGCCUGACUGGCCUCCCAGCGAAAAAAGAAGCCCCUGUGAAGGUUUCUACAGUAAAUCAGAACACCGGCUGCAAAGAGCGUCUUUUGUGAUUUACCCGAAGGCCACCGUAGUUUCUCAGCCGACAGGAGAGAAGGGGGCUGCGCUGAUGCGAAGGUGAAAGACACGCCCCUCCUCCUCCUCAAGCUGAACAUCUGUCUCCGCGGCGUUGGCUGCAGCACCGACUCUGACACCUCCAGAUGGAGAGCCCGCUGGGAGCGCUGAGGUAUUGCCCACAGAGAUGGCAGGGAUCACACCUCUGGAAUGAAGUCCCACACUUGUUUUCUGCACGUCCCCUUUUCUUUGUUGUUGUUGAAUCUGUCACGAUUCACCAUAGCGAUUGUUGCCGCCCCAACCCCACCUCGUCCUCGUCCUUGGCCUUGUGGCUCAUCUGAAGAGUAAAGAAAUGUAUGACAACGGGGAAAAAAAACUUCUCAGCCCUUUUUCUAAUUUACAGUAAUGGGCCGUAUGGUAUUUCAACUGUAACCUCUGCUCGUGGAACUGUAUUAAUUUUUAAUAUAGUAGUGAGAGCACUGCACACAGAUAUAUAUAGAUAUAUAUAUAGUCCAAUGGUUGCUGAUUUCCAUUUGGUAGAAACAUGUUUUCCAGUUUUAAAGUUCGCACCACACUUCCUCUAAAUGGCCUUUAACACUUAUUACUCUAAAUAUUUAAAAGAAAUAGCAAUACCUGCGAAAAGACCUCUUCUUCCAGCCGCUCUGGUGUCUUGACAGAUUGACUCUGCAUUCAUUUUGUGUGCCUGAACUCUGCAUGAACCUCAGCUUUAGGAAAAAGGACACCCAACAGGCCGGUGCUGCUGGGGCAGAAACUCGUGUGUGUGUGUGCAAACUUAACACCCAGGGCAAAUAUUGAAACUGCUGCUGCCCCGUCAGCAUCGGGGGCCAGGGUCCAGCAAACGUUUGGCUAAAGAUAAAAAUCGUGUAAAGUACAGAUGGAUUUCUGCGGCGACGCGUGUCAACUGUAUCCGAGCAGAAUUUGGGUAACAAAAUCCAGGGUGAGACCUGGCUCCCCGCAGUUUGUUGUCAUGUUUAGAGCCCCUGGAGGUAUUUGGAGGUGAAAAGGUCACUGGGAACCACCCCAUGUGUUGUGAAAGA
Long non-coding RNA from Scophthalmus maximus (turbot), 1618 nucleotides. RefSeq lists it as uncharacterized. The record is from RefSeq and is a predicted model, not a curated record. The transcript has 6 exons. NCBI's taxonomy places the organism in Eukaryota, Metazoa, Chordata, Actinopteri, Pleuronectiformes, Scophthalmidae.